Molecule: ribosomal RNA, 253 nt
Filed under: uncultured bacterium
Lineage: Bacteria
Description: partial 16S ribosomal RNA
Rfam family: Bacterial small subunit ribosomal RNA
Source: RNAcentral
UACGUAGGGUGCAAGCGUUAAUCGGAAUUACUGGGCGUAAAGCGUGCGUAAGCGGUUUCGCAAGUCCGCUGUGAAAGCCCCGGGCUUAACCUGGGAAUGGCAGUGGAAACUAUGGGACUUGAAUCUGGCAGAGGGGGGUGGAAUGCCACGUGUAGCAGUGAAAUGCGUAGAGAUGUGGCGGAACACCGAUGGCGAAGGCAGCCCCCUGGGCCAAGAUUGACGCUCAGGCACGAAAGCGUGGGGAGCAAACAGG